CUCAACAGGUUAGAGGCACAGAACUCAUUUAAACAACCGUUACAUGUACACAGGUCUAUAAAUGUGGUUCGCAGUUAGACAUUCUUGGUGUUAUCAAGUGCUAUUCCCAGAUAGCUUCUAAACAAAGCAGACAUGCUGGCAGUUUGGCUUUUCCAUUGUUUUUAUUUGUAAAUAAAAACUUUAAAUGCGUCGGAAGAUCCUCAAAAUCCUUAAUUCCCAGCUGAAGAAGAAGCUAGCAAGGAAGGAUGAUCCAGCAAAGAAGGACGACUGCAGGCCAUUUAAAGAAGGUUUUUGGGGACUACAUGGAAGGAGUUCAGCCAGAUGGAUCAAGGAGAAGGAUUUGGAAGGAAUGCCCGGAUUAUUGAAAGAAUUUUACUGUUUUUAUAUCUGCUUUGUAAUAAAUAUUGAGUUCUGAUUAAAUAUUAUAACGUUUUAA
Long non-coding RNA from Drosophila ananassae, 436 nucleotides. RefSeq lists it as uncharacterized. The transcript has 2 exons. NCBI's taxonomy places the organism in Eukaryota, Metazoa, Arthropoda, Insecta, Diptera, Drosophilidae. The record is from RefSeq and is a predicted model, not a curated record.